AUAAAGAGGAAGGACCAAUGAUGUGAAGGCCCAGAUCCAUCAGAGUAUCAAUGCUCUUCCUCUCUCUCCUCCCCUCUCACUGCAGACAUGAAACACUGGCUGACUAACAUCCUGAUUCUGACUCUCUGGCUAGAGUGUAAAGGAGAAGACAGAGUGAUCCAGCCAACAGGAGAUGUCAUUACUACUGAAGGAGAGACAGUUACUCUUGGCUGUACAUUUGAGACUAGUGACACAUAUCCCACUUUGUUCUGGUACAAACAAGAAGUCAAUGAUUUCCCAAAGUACAUGCUGAAGCGUUACUCAAACACAAAAGAGAAUGCUCCAGAUUUCCAGAAAGACAGAUUUGAUGCUACAAUCAACAAGACAUCAGUUCCUCUGAAGAUCCAGAAGCUUCAGCUGUCUGACUCUGCUGUGUACUACUGUGCUCUGAGG
This is a non-coding RNA of Sander lucioperca (pikeperch), 432 nucleotides long. NCBI's taxonomy places the organism in Eukaryota, Metazoa, Chordata, Actinopteri, Perciformes, Percidae. The record is from the annotation of a RefSeq genome assembly.